AAAAUCCAGUACCGAAGCUUCGGAUUGAUAGAGGAAUUAAAUCUAUCACAUAAGGAGAUCAUUAAAAAAGGAAGAGAAAACUUAACUAGGAAAUAUUAAUAAACAACAAUCAAGAUAAAACGAGUUAUCAAUAAAACAAUUACGCUUAAAAAUAAGUAAAAGGUAAGUUGUAUAACUACGAAAUCACCAACAGUCAUACUAAAAAAAGUAUGAACCUGGUAAAAGUAUUCACUAACCAAAGGAAAAUGAACUUUAUGUCUAGAUUUAAUACCUCUAUCAGUGGUAGAGGAGCAUUGUAUAAGCGAAGAAGCCAAAGCGAAAGCAACAGUGGAGCGAAUACAAGAGAGAAUGCUGGCAUGAGUAGCGAGAAGGGAUGUGAGAAUCAUCCCCGUCGAAACCCUAAGGAUUCCUGAGCAAGGCUCGUCCCCUCAGGGUAAGUCGGGACCUAAGCCGAGGCCGAAAGGCGUAGGCGAUGGAUAACAGGUUUAGAUUCCUGUACCGCUUAAAGUCGCAAUAGAGAAGUGAUGACGCAAAAGGAUAAGCUAAGCUAGCUGAUGGAAUAGCUAGUCUAAAGAUAAAGGCUUGUGUGUAGGCAAAUCCGCACACUUAAAGGCUAAAAUCUGAUAGGUAUCGAAAACAUGAGUAGAGAAGUAGCUGACUCCAUAUUGCCAAGAAAAGUCACUAUCAAGACCAAAGCGCCCGUACCAAAACCGACACAGGUAGGGAGGUAGAGAAUACCAAGACGCGCGGAAGAACCUUUGUUAAGGAACUCGGCAAAAUGUCCCCGUAACUUCGGGAGAAGGGGAGCCAGAGCGAUCUGGCCACAGAAACCAGGCCCAAGCGACUGUUUACCAAAAACACAAGUUUCUGCAAAAUCGAAAGAUGAAGUAUAGGAGCUGACACCUGCCCGGUGCUGGAAGGUUAAGGGGAAGGCUUAGCGAAUGCGAAGGCUAGAACUUAAGCCCCAGUAAACGGCGGCCGUAACUAUAACGGUCCUAAGGUAGCGAAAUUCCUUGUCGGGUAAGUUCCGACCCGCACGAAAGGUGUAACGAUUUGGGCACUGUCUCAACAAAGGAUCCGGUGAAAUUGUAGUAGUCGUGAAGAUGCGACUUACCCACGCUAGGACGGAAAGACCCCGUGGAGCUUUACUGUAGGCUGAUAUUGGACUUUGAGAUUAGACGUACAGGAUAGUUGGGAGACUUAGAAACUUGCACGCCAGUGUAGGUGGAGUCACCCUUGGGAUACCAACCCUCUAAUAUUAAAGUUCUAACUUUGACCCUUGAAUCAGGGCAAAGGACAUUGUCAGUUGGGCAGUUUGACUGGGGCGGUCGCCUCCCAAAAAGUAACGGAGGCGUUCAAAGGUUCGCUCAGAAUGGACGGAAACCAUUCGUAGAGUACAAAGGCAGAAGCGAGCUUAACUGCAAAACCUACAAGUUGCGCAGAGUAGAAAUACGGACUUAGUGAUCCGGUGGCACCGCAUGGAAGGGCCAUCGCUCAACGGAUAAAAGCUACCCCGGGGAUAACAGGCUUAUCUCCCCCAAGAGUCCACAUCGACGGGGAGGUUUGGCACCUCGAUGUCGGCUCGUCUCAUCCUGGGGCUGAAGUAGGUCCCAAGGGUUGGGCUGUUCGCCCAUUAAAGAGGCACGCGAGCUGGGUUCAGAACGUCGUGAGACAGUUCGGUCCCUAUCCAGCGUGGGCGUAAGAAAUUUGAGAGGAUCUGUCCUUAGUACGAGAGGACCGGGAUGGACAUACCUCUGGUGUACCAGUUGUUCCGCCAGGAGCAUAGCUGGGUAGCUACGUAUGGAAUUGAUAAGUACUGAAAGCAUCUAAGUACGAAGCAGGCCUCAAGAUAAGAUUUCU
This 1860-nucleotide ribosomal RNA is filed under the name human gut metagenome. RNAcentral describes it as "bacterial LSU rRNA". It matches the Rfam family "Bacterial large subunit ribosomal RNA", at positions 1183 to 2814 of the family's 2925-position model. The record is from RNAcentral.